GGGAGGUAGUGACAAUAAAUAACAAUACAGGGUUCUUUUGGAUCUUGUAAUUGGAAUGAGUACAAUUUAAAUCUCUUAACGAGGAACAAUUGGAGGGCAAGUCUGGUGCCAGCAGCCGCGGUAAUUCCAGCUCCAAUAGCGUAUAUUAAAGUUGUUGCAGCUAAAAAGCUCGUAGUUGAAUUUCGGGAUCAAUUUAUCGGUCGUGCCUACGGUAUGAACUGGUACAAUUGGUUUCUCCCUUCUGACGAAGCAUGACGUCAUUAAUUUGGUGUCGUGGGGAAUCAGGACUGUUACUUUGAAAAAUUAGAGUGUUUAAAGCAAGCAUUAGCUUGAAUACAUUAGCAUGGAAUAAUGAAAUAGGACGUUUGAUCCUAUUUCGUUGGUUUCUAGGAUUGACGUAAUGAUUAAUAGGGAUAGUUGGG
RNAcentral lists this ribosomal RNA (422 nucleotides) under uncultured Glomeraceae. Its description in RNAcentral is "SSU rRNA". It matches the Rfam family "Eukaryotic small subunit ribosomal RNA", at positions 459 to 886 of the family's 1831-position model. Lineage: Eukaryota; Fungi; Glomeromycota; Glomeromycetes; Glomerales; Glomeraceae. The record is from RNAcentral.